Molecule: transfer RNA, 72 nt
Filed under: Coriobacteriaceae bacterium EMTCatB1
Lineage: Bacteria; Bacillati; Actinomycetota; Coriobacteriia; Coriobacteriales; Coriobacteriaceae
Rfam family: tRNA
About the family: Transfer RNA (tRNA) molecules are approximately 80 nucleotides in length. Their secondary structure includes four short double-helical elements and three loops (D, anti-codon, and T loops).
Source: Rfam by way of RNAcentral
GCCGGCGUGGCUCAAUGGCAGAGCAAUCGCCUUGUAAGCGAUAGGUUGUGGGUUCGAUUCCCUCCGCCGGCU